RNAcentral lists this long non-coding RNA (5737 nucleotides) under Gossypium barbadense (sea-island cotton). RNAcentral describes it as "long non-coding RNA (GBAR_LNC016090)". Lineage: Eukaryota; Viridiplantae; Streptophyta; Magnoliopsida; Malvales; Malvaceae. The record is from RNAcentral.
CUUAUGUUAUAGCAUCUGUUAUAGUUCAUUACAAAAGUAGUUAAGGAACGGUUUCUAACCUAGCAUUAAAUAUGUGUAACAUGCUUGAGUUAAACAGGUUGAAUACAUCAUUCUAUUUCUUGAAUAAUCUGAAUCUUAACAGUCUCUAUCCAUUCUUUUCAAUAAAUAUAUUUAUUUAAAUAUUUUUUAUUAUUUAAAAAGCUUUCAUGCAUGUUUGUUACCCUAGCACGUCCCUGUCUGCCCUUCUGGCAAGUCUAGGUUUUCUUUUUUUUUUCAAUAGUUUUUUGGUUUGACGGCUGAGUUUUCCAGUGUUGUGAAUAAUCUUCUCUUUCUAUUCUUCACGUAUAACGACCAUGGAAUCUGACUUUACAGCUCUAUCCUUUGAUGACGAAGAGGAAGAUAUCCUGCAAGUGGAAGGAGAAAUAGAAUCGGUAAGUAAAGAAGAAGAUUUAAGUCUAGUUGGGUGUUUCCUUACUGCCAGUAUCAUCCAUUACCCAGCAAUGAAAAGUACUAUGGCUAAUUUAUUGCAUCCAAUCAAGGGGGUUCAAAUUAGAGAUUUGGGGGAAAGAGAUGUAUUUUUAAAUUUUUUCACAUUAUGGAUAUGGAGAAAGUUAUUAAAGGGUCUUUUUGGACAUUUAAUAACCAUCUGCUGAUUCUGCAUAAGUUGCAAUGGGGAGAGGACCCACUCAGGAUUCUAUUAAUUUCAUCACCUUUUUGGGUACAAGUUCAUGAGGUUCCUAUUGAUUUUUACUCUGAAAGUUUAGCCAUGCAAUUAAUAAAUUUUAUUAAUACUUUCCAGGAGUAUGAUAGUUCUAGUUUGGGGAAAGAAAAUAUGAAUUAUAUGCGGAUUAGAGUACACAUUGAUAUUUGUCGCCCUCUCAAAAGGAAAAAACAGAUUAAGUUUAAGAAUAUGUGUUCUUAUGUCAGAUUUAAGUAUGAGAGAUUAACUCUCUUUUGCUUCUUCUGUGGCCGGUUAGGGCAUAACGAUUCCUUUUGCAAAGCAAAAAUAGAAGCUGGGGUUGAAAUAGAAGAAAUAGGAUAGGAUCUAUCUUUGCGGGCACAGUCAAGGAGAGCCCAAGCAAUGCGUAGUGCCUGGUUAAGAGAGGAGGGAGGAUCAGUAGGCAAAAAUAAUAGAGAUGAAGUCGGGAGUGAUAGAGAUUGAAGGAAAAUGGGAAAAAUUGAGAAUAUUCUGGAUCCAAUUCUAGGUUUUAAUCUGGAAGGUAACGGGCUUUACGCAGAGUUAGGAAGUUCAAGGAAGCUAAUUGGUAAUAAUAACAUAGAGAUGGAGCAUGAUUUGAAGAAUGAGCUGAUUGUAGGAGAGGAGGGGAAAAAGAGGAUUAGAGGGGAAAUGGAAGAAAGUAUGGAGGCGGGAAGGAGGAAUAGGAGAAGGGCUAAAUCUAACCAUUUGUUAUCGACAGCUGCCAAGAGGCAAGCCGACCGGUCGCAAUGAAAAUCUUAAGCUGGAAUGUCCGAAGGUUAGGGAAUCCUCGGACAGUUCGACGACUUCGGCAUUCGCUGAAGCAACAUCAUCCCCAAGUGGUCUUAUUAAUGGAGACAAAAUUAAACAAAAAUAAAAUGGAAAAAGUUCGAAGAAGGUGUGGGUUUCAACUUGGCAUUGAUGUUGACUCGAUUGGAUCGAAAGGUGGGCUAAAUUUGGCAUGGCAAGAAAAUGUUAAUAUUAAACUACAAAGCUUUUCAAACUGACAUAUUGAUGUGUUUAUUGAGGAAGGAGAGGACAGGAAAAUAUGGAGACUUACAGGUUUUUAUGGAUCCCCUUAUUCACAAGACAGGGAUGCAACAUGGAAUCUGUUGAGACAAUUACGGAAUCAGAGAGAAUACCCUUGGCUGGUUUGCGGGGAUUUUAAUGAAAUCUUAUAUGGUUUCGAAAAGAAAGGUGGAUUACCUAGGGAGGAAAGAAGAAUAGAGGCAUUUAGACAAGUUCUAGAAGAUUGUAAUCUGGUUGAUUUGGGAUAUUCUGGCAGAUGGUUCACAUGGGAGAGAGGGAACUUAAUUGAAACAAAUAUUCAGGAGAGACUUGACAGAGGUGUUGCAACGGAGCAAUGGAGCGACUUAUUCUCAAACAAUCUGGUACGACAUCUUUCACAUUCAUUCUCGGACCAUUGUCCAAUUCUUUUAUAUACGGCUUACAAGAAUAGAGAGAGGGCAAGAAAAAACUUCAAGUUUGAAGCGUGGUAGGUACUAGAAGAAACAUUCUUUAGUGAAACUAAAAGAAUUUGGGAAAAUUCUACAGGAUAUCUUAUAAACAAGCUGGAGAUCCUCAAAAAAGGGUUAGAGAAGUGGGGAGUGAAAAUCAAACAGAAUAGGAAAAUGAAAACAGAAGGUUUGACUUCAAAACUGAUAGCAUUACUUGAAGAAGACAGAAGUGAUGAGAAUCUGGCAAAGAUUAUUGAUACAAAAAUCCAUCUGAACUUUGAGAUUGAAAAAGACGAGAGUUACUGGGAACAGAGGGCCCGAAUUAAUUGGCUUAAGCUAGGGGACAGAUACAUAAAUUACAGUCAGAAGACGAAAGGGAAACAGAUGAGUGGAAGGAAAAGGAGGAAAUUGCUAGAUUGUAUUUUCAAAAAUUAUUUAAUACAGGAGGACAAAAUCAUUGCGAUAGAAUCCUAACAGGUAUUGAAGGCCGUAUCACAGAAGAAGACAAUAAUACUUUAAAGGCAAGAUACACAAAGGAAGAGAUACUGGAAGCGCUUUCAGGAAUAGGACCUACAAAAGCUCCAGGAGAUGACAGUUUUCCAGCCCUGUUUUAUCAAAAGUGUUUGCCAAUUGUUGGAGAGGAUGUAACCAAUUUUUGUCUUCAUAGGUUAAACGAAGGUAUGGAUUUACAUUCAAUCAAUAAAACAAACAUUGUGCUUAUUUCAAAAGUCUUGAAUCCCUCAAGGAUUACUCAGUUUUGACCAAUUAGUUUAUGCAAUGUGAUUUACAAGCUGAUAGCGAAAGUUAUUGCUAGACGACUCAGAGGAGUAAUGCAUAAAUGUAUAGAUUUAGCUCAAAGCGCUUUUGUCCCAAGAAGGCUGAUUUCAGAUAAUGUUUUACUUGCGUAUGAAAUCUUACAUACUCUAAAACUCAAGAGGGUGGGGAAAAGAGGAUUCAUGGCUGUCAAACUUGAUAUGAGUAAAACAUACGAUAGAGUCGAAUGGGGCUUUGUGGAAGGGGUAAUGAAAAAGUUGGGUUUUGAUCUAGGAUGGGUUGUUUCAAUUUUGAAAUGUGUCUCGACGGUCUCUUAUGAGGUGAUUAUCAAUGGCAACAGAGGGCAAACGAUAAUUCCAUCUAGAGGAAUCAGACAAGGUGACCCUCUCAGUCUGUUCUUAUUUCUGUUCUGUGCAGAAGGUAUAUCGAGUUUAAUGCGACUUGCAAAAAAAGAAAGCAUCCUUAGAGGAGUUAAAGCAAGUCAAAGAGGACCAGCUAUCUCACAUUUACUCUUUGCCGAUGAUUGUAUUUUAUUUGCAGAAGCUUCAGAAAGGGGGGCACAUGCUUUAAAACAGAUUCUAAAGGAAUAUGAAUUGAGCUCAAGGCAAUGUGUGAAUUAUGAAAAAUCGGCUGUUUUCUUCAGUACAAACACAGAAGAGCAUGUAAGGGGUAAUGUCUCGAUGAUCCUAGGAGUUGGAAGAGCGAAUGAUAUAGAGAGAUACCUAGGGCUUCCUAGUAUGGUGGAAAAAAGAAAGAAAAUAUCUUUUCAAAGUUUGAAAGACAGACUCAAACAAAGGAUUGAUAAUUUGAGCACAAGGUUUCUAUCUCAAGGAGGCAAGGAAGUUUUUAUUAAAGCGAUCUUACAAGCUAUCCCAAUGUAUUCAAUGUCGUGUUUUCUACUCCCUAAGACCCUAUGUACGGAUCUGGAAAGAAUUGUUGCUAAUUUCUGGUGGCGUAAGAAAUGGAAUAAAAAGAGUAUCCAUUGGUGUACCUGGGAGAAUCUUUGCUUAUUAAAAGAAAAUGGUGGUCUUGGUUUCCGAAAUUUUACGAAGUUUAAUAUUGCUUUAUUAGCGAAACAGGGUUGGCGUCUUGUUAAUUACCUAAAUUCAUUAUUAGCUCGUGUUUUGAAAUCAAAGUAUUAUCCCAAUUUAGAUUUCUUGAAAGCUCGGCUAGGAAAUUUACCCUCACUUACCUGGAGAAGUGUUUGGUCUGCGAAAGGUCUGCUUGAAAAAGGUCUAUGCUGGAGAGUGGGUCGAGGUGAUAGGAUUUCCAUCUAUGAUGAUCUGUGGUUACCAGGAAAAGAAAUGGCUAGAAUACCGAAUCAAGAAGUGAAUGGUAAUUUUGAAUUUGUCUCAGAGUUGAUUGAACCAAGUAACAGAGAGUGGAAAACAGAGGUAAUAAAGGAUACCUUCAAACCAGCUGUAGCGGAGAAAAUAUUGAGGAUCCCAUUGGCGGAGACAGAACAUGAAGAUCUUCAAGUUUGGAAAGGGGAGUCGACCGGAGAAUUUUCAGUUAGGAGCGCCUAUAAACUAUUACAUGAGUUGACUUUGGAUCCUAAUGAGUUAUUUUUACAUACCGAAACUAUAAACUUUUACAGGAAACUAUGGACAUUACAAAUUCCAUCGAAAAUCAAAAUGACUAUAUGGAGGAUUUCAUGGAACUAUAUCCCAUCUUUUCUCAAUCUCAAAAUAAAGCGGGUUUUGGUGAAUACUAAAUGUCCCAGAUGUGAGUCUGAAGAAGAAAGCAGUCGCCAUAUUUUCCAACAGUGCCCUGCAGCGAUUGAGGUCUGGUAUCAUCUUAACCUUUCGUGGAUACUGAACUACAAUAAUGAGGAUUUAUGGAGAUGGCUCACUGGAAUCUUUGGUCAAGGAAACGAGGAGCAGUUGCGACUAUUCUGCUGUGGACUAUGGUAUAUCUGGUUCAGUAGAAAUCAACUCAUUUAUGGAAAAAAACAAAUGUCAGGAUUAGAAAUAGCAAGGAAAAUUAGAAACUAUUUAACAGAACUCGAAGCAGCAAAAAAAGAUAAACCUACCUUCCAUACUUCUGACUGUUAUCAACAAGUUUUCAAAAGGGGAUGGGCAACAGUUCAUUUUGAUGCAGCGUUUGAUAGUCAGACGUUCAGAUCGGCAUCGGGGUUAAUAGUUUGGAAUGGGGAAGGGGAAAUCCUUGCGUCUUUAGCAGUUCUCCACUCCAACAUCGAAGAUUCAUUCACAGCGGAGGCUCAUGCAGGAUUACAAGCAAUCACUCUAGGUAUUAAUUUGGGAAUCAACAAAAUGGAGAUAAUGGGUGAUGCAAAAAUAGUUAUCAAAAAGUGUAAAAGUUCCAUUACAGAUAGAUCGGUCAUUGGAGCAAUAAUCAGAGAUAUUCGGAACCGGAAAAAUUGUUACCAGGAGAUUAAGUUUUCUUUUAUUCCAAAAGCAAAAAACAUCUAUGCUCACACUAUUGCAACGGAGGCUCUUAAGAGAAGCGAAAGUUUUUACCUGGAGAAGGGAGUCCCAGAGACAGUCAGUCGAGUGCUGGAGAGGCACGAAUUGAAACCUCCUGAUUGAAGAAAUGAAAGGUUCUUAUGCAAUAAAGGAUAGCAGAGUAAAAGAAGCAUUAGAACCUGCUAUCAUUAAAGCUGGUGGGUGGCUCUAAACGGAAAUGACAAAGUGAUGUCCAGCUAUAUUGAUUUGACUGGGUUUGGAUAAGCACGAGUUUUAUUUUAUUUUGUUUAUUUAUUAGGCCCAAUUUGUUUCUGGAUAAGCAUGAGUUUUAUUUUACUUUAUUUUGUUUAUUUAUUAGGCCCAAUUUGUUUCUUUGUUUCCAG